CUUGGGUAAAAUCCAGGGAAAGAGAACAAUCAGCGACUUGUUCCACCCGGGGUAGAACUUGGCAGGAACUCUCGGAAUCGCUGUCACCACCUUUUCCACUCCAAGGCAGUUCAUAAAUGUCUACAUUUCCAUGGUACGUCUUGGAGGCUGCACGAGGGAGAGAGAACCGGUAACCCUCAUACCUACAGAAAUGUACAGGACUUCCCUGGUGGCGCAGUGGUUAAGAAUCCGCCUGCCAAAGCAGGGGACACGGGUUCGAGCCCUGGUCCGGGAAGAUCCCACAUGUCACGGAGCACCUAAGCCCAUGAGCCACAACUACUGAGCCCGUGCGCCACAACGACUGAAGCCCGCAUGCCUAGAGCCCGUGCUCCGCAACAAGAGAAGCCACCGCAAUGAGAAGCCCGCACACCGCAACGAAGAGGAGUCCCCGCUCGCCGCAACUAGAGAAAGCCUGCGUGCAGCAACGAAGACCCAACGCGGCCAUAAAUAAAUAAAUAAAUAAGCAAAUAAAUAAAUAAAAAUAAUAAAAAGAAAUGUGCAGUGGA
This is a long non-coding RNA of Orcinus orca (killer whale), 545 nucleotides long. RefSeq lists it as uncharacterized. The record is from RefSeq and is a predicted model, not a curated record. The transcript is spliced from 2 exons. Lineage: Eukaryota; Metazoa; Chordata; Mammalia; Artiodactyla; Delphinidae.